UACGGAGGGAGCUAGCGUUGUUCGGAAUCACUGGGCGUAAAGCGCACGUAGGCGGCUUUGCAAGUUAGAGGUGAAAGCCCGGGGCUCAACUCCGGAACUGCCUUUAAGACUGCAUCGCUUGAAUCCGGGAGAGGUGAGUGGAAUUCCGAGUGUAGAGGUGAAAUUCGUAGAGAUUCGGAAGAACACCAGUGGCGAAGGCGGCUCACUGGACCGGUAUUGACGAUGAGGUGCGAAAGCGUGGGGAGCAAACAGG
Molecule: ribosomal RNA, 253 nt
Filed under: uncultured bacterium
Lineage: Bacteria
Description: partial 16S ribosomal RNA
Rfam family: Bacterial small subunit ribosomal RNA
Source: RNAcentral